GCGCGAAACCUCUACAAUGCACGAAAGUGUGAUAGGGGGAUCCUAAGUGCUUGUACAAUGUACAGGCUUUUGCCGAGAGUAAACAUCUCGGAGAAUAAGUGGUGGGCAAGACUGGUGCCAGCAGCCGCGGUAAUACCAGCGCCACAAGUGGGGACCGCUUUUAUUGGGUCUAAAGCGUCCGUAGCAGGUCAAGCAAAUCUUUUGUGAAAUCGCAGGGCUUAACUUUGCGGAGUGCAGAAGACACUACUUGACUCGGGACCGGGAGGAGUGAGAAGUAUUUCCAGGGGAACGGUAAAAUGUUUUAAUCCUGGAAGGACUACCGAUGGCGAAGGCAUCUCACCAGAACGGGUCCGACUGUGAGGGACGAAAGCUAGGGGAGCGAUCCGG
Molecule: ribosomal RNA, 387 nt
Filed under: uncultured bacterium
Lineage: Bacteria
Description: bacterial SSU rRNA
Rfam family: Archaeal small subunit ribosomal RNA
Source: RNAcentral